CGCGGCCUAUCAGCUUGUUGGUGGGGUGAUGGCCUACCAAGGCUUCGACGGGUAGCCGGCCUGAGGGGGCGACCGGCCACAUUGGGACUGAGAUACGGCCCAGACUCCUACGGGAGGCAGCAGUGGGGAAUAUUGCACAAUGGGCGGAAGCCUGAUGCAGCAACGCCGCGUGCGGGAUGACGGCCUUCGGGUUGUAAACCGCUUUCGCCUAUGACGAAGCUUUUGUGACGGUAGUAGGAGAAGAAGCACCGGCUAACUACGUGCCAGCAGCCGCGGUGAUACGUAGGGUGCGAGCGUUGUCCGGAUUUAUUGGGCGUAAAGAGCUUGUAGGCGGUUGGUCGCGUCGAUAGUGCAAACUCAGGGCUUAACUCUGAGCCUGCUGUCGAUACGGGCUGACUUGAGGGAUGUAGGGGAGAAUGGAAUUCCCGGUGGAGCGGUGGAAUGCGCAGAUAUCGGGAGGAACACCGGUGGCGAAGGCGGUUCUCUGGACAUUUCCUGACGCUGAGAAGCGAAAGCGUGGGGAGCAAACAGGCUUAGAUACCCUGGUAGUCCACGCUGUAAACGGUGGGUACUAGGUGUGGGGGACAUUCCACGUUCUCUGUGCCGUAGCUAACGCAUUAAGUACCCCGCCUGGGGAGUACGGA
RNAcentral lists this ribosomal RNA (644 nucleotides) under uncultured Actinomycetes bacterium. RNAcentral's name for it is "bacterial SSU rRNA". It matches the Rfam family "Bacterial small subunit ribosomal RNA", at positions 232 to 886 of the family's 1533-position model. The record is from RNAcentral. Lineage: Bacteria; Bacillati; Actinomycetota; Actinomycetes.